AAUGUACGUAGUCUGCGACAUACAGGAAGACCCGCUGAACUGAAGCA
RNAcentral lists this ribosomal RNA (47 nucleotides) under Trichomonas sp. 'duck_salpingitis'. RNAcentral's name for it is "partial large subunit ribosomal RNA". The record is from RNAcentral. Lineage: Eukaryota; Parabasalia; Trichomonadida; Trichomonadidae.